Molecule: ribosomal RNA, 351 nt
Filed under: uncultured eukaryote
Lineage: Eukaryota
Description: partial 18S ribosomal RNA
Rfam family: Eukaryotic small subunit ribosomal RNA
Source: RNAcentral
CAAGAGCGUAUAUUAACGUUGUUGCAGUUAAAAAGCUCGUAGUUGAAUGUUGUGUGAUUGUGAGACUGGUCGUUGGUGGAAACGCCUAUUGUACCUUUCUCACACCACAUUUCGGGUCCUCAUCGACCCCCUUUACUGUGAAUAAAUUAGCGUGUUCAAAGCAAACUCUCCUUGAAUACACUAGCAUGGAAUAAUAAUAUAUGACUUAUACGUCUAUUUUAUUGGCUAGACCUUAAGUAAUGAUUGAUAGGAUUGGUCGGGGAAAAGCGGAUUGAUUGGCCAGAGGUGAAAUUCUUUAAUUCAUUCAAGACGAACUAAUGCGAAAGCACUUUUCAAGGACAAUUUCUUUAA